AGCCAUCUCUCGUUUGAGGCCAGUGAAAUCGCCUCCCAUCACCGUACUUGCUCAGGGCCAGAGCUCCAGGUGCAUACCCCCAGAGGCUUCAAGGUUAAUUCUCCUUCCUGGGUAGUCUCCAAGCAGACUGUGCUCGGUUCCAGUGAUGUAUUUUCGUGCUAGCUAGCCCCCCCUUUUUUGCAAGGAACACGUCAUCAUGCGGCCAGAUGUGGUAGAUCACUAACGACGGAAGUCUUGCAGCCGUUAUGCUAGAGAAACGCCACAGCUGAUAAAAGUCACCGUGUUUAAACACGUUCACUUAGCGGCGGCUAUCGAAUGUUAGAUGCAUAAACUCAUGAGGUAUUACUGUUGUCUAAUUGAAGCUAACAUGCCUGACGGUGCUCUAAGGAAAUGACCACCCCGUUAGCAAAUAAUACCGCUGUACAAUUUGAAUCUAUAAAGGGCAAGGACUGCAA
Molecule: long non-coding RNA, 455 nt
Filed under: Dermacentor andersoni
Lineage: Eukaryota; Metazoa; Arthropoda; Arachnida; Ixodida; Ixodidae
Description: uncharacterized LOC126532450
Source: RNAcentral